UGCUCGUUUGAUUCUCUUUUCCCUGU
This 26-nucleotide non-coding RNA is filed under the name Homo sapiens (human). The record is from RNAcentral. Lineage: Eukaryota; Metazoa; Chordata; Mammalia; Primates; Hominidae.